RNAcentral lists this long non-coding RNA (288 nucleotides) under Phoenix dactylifera (date palm). RNAcentral describes it as "long non-coding RNA (PDAC_LNC016309)". Lineage: Eukaryota; Viridiplantae; Streptophyta; Magnoliopsida; Arecales; Arecaceae. The record is from RNAcentral.
UGUGAUAACCGCCCCACUCCCAAGAGAAACGGAGGGGGGGGGGCAAUACACCAUCGUGCAGGCGUUCGUAACGCCUGAUGGUGGGCGGUUACAACCGUCCGCCUUCCCCAGUGAUCGAGGCUACAAGAAGCCCCGAUCGGCUACCAUUUCACCACCGGUUCAUCCUCCUCCUCCACUGUUUGUCUCCCUCUCUCCCAACCCUCUCCGGUUGGCAGGACCUGGUGUUGAAACCGCGCCGCCGGAGCAGAAGGCCGCAUCGCCGGAGUAGGAGGCGGACGACCACCUUCA